UGGGGAAUAUUGCACAAUGGGGGGAACCCUGAUGCAGCGACGCCGCGUGAGUGAAGAAGUAUUUCGGUACGUAAAGCUCUAUCAGCAGGGAAGAAAAGGAACUAAAGUUCCUAUGACGGUACCUGACUAAGAAGCCCCGGCUAACUACGUGCCAGCAGCCGCGGUAAUACGUAGGGGGCAAGCGUUAUCCGGAUUUACUGGGUGUAAAGGGAGCGUAGACGGCAGCGCAAGUCUGAAGUGAAAUGCCGGGGCUCAACCCCGGAACUGCUUUGGAAACUGUGCAGCUGGAGUGCAGGAGAGGUAAGCGGAAUUCCUAGUGUAGCGGUGAAAUGCGUAGAUAUUAGGAGGAACACCAGUGGCGAAGGCGGCUUACUGGACUGUAACUGACGUUGAGGCUCGAAAGCGUGGGGAGCAAACAGG
RNAcentral lists this ribosomal RNA (420 nucleotides) under uncultured bacterium. RNAcentral's name for it is "bacterial SSU rRNA". It matches the Rfam family "Bacterial small subunit ribosomal RNA", at positions 355 to 776 of the family's 1533-position model. The record is from RNAcentral.